GACGAACGCUGGCGGCGUGCCUAAUACAUGCAAGUAGAACGCUGAAGGAGGAGCUUGCUUCUCUGGAUGAGUUGCGAACGGGUGAGUAACGCGUAGGUAACCUGCCUGGUAGCGGGGGAUAACUAUUGGAAACGAUAGCUAAUACCGCAUAAGAGUAGAUGUUGCAUGACAUUUGCUUAAAAGGUGCAAUUGCAUCACUACCAGAUGGACCUGCGUUGUAUUAGCUAGUUGGUGGGGUAACGGCUCACCAAGGCGACGAUACAUAGCCGACCUGAGAGGGUGAUCGGCCACACUGGGACUGAGACACGGCCCAGACUCCUACGGGAGGCAGCAGUAGGGAAUCUUCGGCAAUGGACGGAAGUCUGACCGAGCAACGCCGCGUGAGUGAAGAAGGUUUUCGGAUCGUAAAGCUCUGUUAUAAGAGAAGAACGAGUGUGAGAGUGGAAAGUUCACACUGUGACGGUAUCUACCA
Molecule: ribosomal RNA, 472 nt
Filed under: Streptococcus mitis
Lineage: Bacteria; Bacillati; Bacillota; Bacilli; Lactobacillales; Streptococcaceae
Description: bacterial SSU rRNA
Rfam family: Bacterial small subunit ribosomal RNA
Source: RNAcentral